RNAcentral lists this ribosomal RNA (403 nucleotides) under uncultured bacterium. Its description in RNAcentral is "bacterial SSU rRNA". It matches the Rfam family "Bacterial small subunit ribosomal RNA", at positions 356 to 776 of the family's 1533-position model. The record is from RNAcentral.
GGGGAAUAUUGCACAAUGGGGGAAACCCUGAUGCAGCGACGCCGCGUGAAGGAUGAAGUAUUUCGGUAUGUAAACUUCUAUCAGCAGGGAAGAAAAUGACGGUACCUGACUAAGAAGCCCCGGCUAACUACGUUCCAGCAGCCGCGGUAAUACGUAGGGGGCAAGCGUUAUCCGGAUUUACUGGGUGUAAAGGGAGCGUAGACGGUAUGGCAAGUCUGAUGUGAAAACCCGGGGCUCAACCCCGGGACUGCAUUGGAAACUGUCGGACUAGAGUGUCGGAGAGGCAAGUGGAAUUCCUAGUGUAGCGGUGAAAUGCGUAGAUAUUAGGAGGAACACCAGUGGCGAAGGCGGCUUGCUGGACGAUGACUGACGUUGAGGCUCGAAAGCGUGGGGAGCAAACAGG